Hippocampus comes (tiger tail seahorse) is the source of this 558-nucleotide long non-coding RNA. RefSeq lists it as uncharacterized. The record is from RefSeq and is a predicted model, not a curated record. The transcript is spliced from 2 exons. Lineage: Eukaryota; Metazoa; Chordata; Actinopteri; Syngnathiformes; Syngnathidae.
CCGUUUUGGUUUGAAGUAAUUCUCCAACGCGUCCAAUAUUUCUUUCACGUCCUCCUGUUGUGCCGCAGACAGGUUCAGGUUGUGUUUGUACACGUGGCGGCAAUCGCCUCCCAUAAGUCUUCUCAGAGCAGCAGCCUGCACUCUUUUGUCUUUAUCUUCCAACCCGGAUGCCAAAGAAUAGUCUUCAAAUUCAGCACGAAAGUUAUCCCAGUUGUUAGCAACAUCUCCAGUCAGCUUCAUCUCCUCCGGGGCUGGGAUGCUAACGUUAGCCGCCAUGUCGUCAGCCUCGUUGCUAUCACGGUCGCGAUAAUGGACUCCCAACUGCGUGUUCCGCACACAAUAAACUCACAGCUGCGACGGCACUAAUCGAAAACAGCAGUGGGUAGGAUCACUUCUGACACCAUGUUUGGUUUAUUAAUGACACAAGUCAUGAUGGCGUUUGACUGAUGCUUUAGUAGCAUGAACGGCAACUGACAGCAUAACGGUGGCAAGCCACACCUUGCCUCUUGGGCUAUACCAUUUUAACUAGACCGGGGGGGGGAUAAUCCCCAAACAGAA